AUUUAUUUAUUUAUCUGUGCCCUGCUAGCUAACCGAGUCCUCUAAUGUCUGAUCCUAGAAAAACGUUAAAUCAUCUGAAAAAGGAGAAGUUUGCAGCUCAAAAAGCAGCAGAGAACGGAAAAAAACAGGUAACACACAAAGAUAUGGGUUGCAACAAAGAUGAAGCUUUGUAGUUCAGAGAUGUAAUCGUCUUCCUUCAGAUUUCAGGGCUGCGUUUGCAAAACCAGAAGCUGGAGAACGACAACAAGGUCCUGUCGGAGGAAAAUGCCAGGAUCUCUGCUGAUGUGGAGAGCUUACGACAGCAGCUGGAGAACAGAAAGAGAGAGGCGCUCCCAGUGGAGGAGAGGACCACGGCCCACCUGAAAGACGGGAUGGAGAGCCAGCUCAGCCACCUCGUGGAGGAAUGCAGGAGUGUGGAUAAGGAGACUAUGGGCCUCAGAAACCAGCUCGCCAAAGCUCAGGAAAAGGUGUGAGGGCGUCUAAGCGUGAGGAAAUGUAGAAGCUACUCAUCUCAUGACGUUGUGGGAGAAUCAUCUCAUUUCAGAGGUUGAAGUGGUGCACUAUAGUCACAACGAUUCAUAUUCCUGUUGCUUCCUCUUAAAAAAUGUAUUAUUCAUACAAGACACAGAACUGUGCCUGUAUUCACAGUGAUUUAAUAACACGCUACAGGCUCGAUCGUGCAGAGAUGAUGUUUGUGGUUGACUU
This 705-nucleotide long non-coding RNA is filed under the name Gouania willdenowi (blunt-snouted clingfish). RNAcentral's name for it is "lncRNA (ENSGWIG00000002934.1)". The record is from RNAcentral. Lineage: Eukaryota; Metazoa; Chordata; Actinopteri; Blenniiformes; Gobiesocidae.